UACGUAGGUGACCAGCGUUGUCCGGAUUUACUGGGCGUAAAAAGCGCGCAGGCGGUCGUUCAAGUCGAGUGUGAAAGCCCCCGGCUUAACUGGGGAGGGUCAUUCGAUACUGCUCGGCUCGAAGACAGGAGAGGGAAGUGGAAUUCCCGGUGUAGUGGUGAAAUGCGUAGAUAUCGGGAGGAACACCAGUGGCGAAGGCGGCUUGCUGGGCGUGAUCUGACGCUGAGGCGCGAAAGCUAGGGGAGCGAACAGG
This 253-nucleotide ribosomal RNA is filed under the name uncultured bacterium. RNAcentral's name for it is "partial 16S ribosomal RNA". It matches the Rfam family "Bacterial small subunit ribosomal RNA", at positions 524 to 776 of the family's 1533-position model. The record is from RNAcentral.